AGUGAACGCUGGCGGUAGGCCUAACACAUGCAAGUCGAACGGCAGCACAGUAAGAGCUUGCUCUUACGGGUGGCGAGUGGCGGACGGGUGAGGAAUACAUCGGAAUCUACUUUUUCGUGGGGGAUAACGUAGGGAAACUUACGCUAAUACCGCAUACGACCUACGGGUGAAAGCAGGGGAUCUUCGGACCUUGCGCGAUUGAAUGAGCCGAUGUCGGAUUAGCUAGUUGGCGGGGUAAAGGCCCACCAAGGCGACGAUCCGUAGCUGGUCUGAGAGGAUGAGCAGCCACACUGGAACUGAGACACGGUCCAGACUCCUACGGGAGGCAGCAGUGGGGAAUAUUGGACAAUGGGCGCAAGCCUGAUCCAGCCAUACCGCGUGGGUGUAGAAGGCCUUCGGGUUGUAAAGCCCUUUUGUUGGGAAAGAAAAGCAGCAGGUUAAUACCCCGCUGUUCUGACGGUACCCAAAGAAUAAGCACCGGCUAACUUCGUG
This 492-nucleotide ribosomal RNA is filed under the name uncultured bacterium. RNAcentral describes it as "partial 16S ribosomal RNA". It matches the Rfam family "Bacterial small subunit ribosomal RNA", at positions 29 to 507 of the family's 1533-position model. The record is from RNAcentral.